UAUGUGAUCGUCUCUCGCAUAUCAAUAAGCGGAGGAAAAGAAACUAACAAGGAUUCCCCUAGUAACGGCGAGUGAAGCGGGAAGAGCUCAAAUUUGAAAUCUUAAAGGGUUUCCCUUUACGAAUUGUAGUUUAAAGAAGUGUUUUCUGUUGAGGUUUUGGUAAAGGUUCUUUGGAAUAGGACAUCAUAGAGGGUGAGAAUCCCGUAUUUGACCUUUACUUUCAACUUUGUGAUACACUUUCAAAGAGUCGGAUUGUUUGGGAAUGCAGUCCAAAAUGGGUGGUAAAUUUCAUCUAAAGCUAAAUAUUGGCGAGAGACCGAUAGCGAACAAGUACCGUGAGGGAAAGAUGAAAAGAACUUUGAAAAGAGAGUUAAACAGUACGUGAAAUUGUCAAAGGGAAGCGUUUGACACCAGUGUUGUUUUUCUGAAAAUCAAUUAAAGAACUGUUUAUGCUAAGCUGUUUAGACUUUAUCAGCUAUCUGUUUAGUUUUGAGCUUUUCUUUAAUGCACUUUUCAGUUAACAAGUCAACAUCAAUUUCUUUUGCUGUAAAAAAGCUUGAGGAAGGUGGCUUGAGAUUCCGUCUUAAGUGUUUAUAGCCUCUUGCCUAUGCAGUCGGAGAGAUUGAGGUCUGCAGCGUAGAUCCUUCGGGGCUAAAUGCAUUUGUGCUAAGUUAUAGCAUUUUAUAGACAACUUGUUGACUAUGAUUUGUCUUGUAGCUUACUCGCUUAUGUUAUUUUACCUACGCUUAGGAUGUUGAAGACUCUACAGAGAU
RNAcentral lists this ribosomal RNA (773 nucleotides) under uncultured Neocallimastigales. Its description in RNAcentral is "partial large subunit ribosomal RNA". It matches the Rfam family "Eukaryotic large subunit ribosomal RNA", at positions 24 to 624 of the family's 3401-position model. The record is from RNAcentral. Lineage: Eukaryota; Fungi; Neocallimastigomycota; Neocallimastigomycetes; Neocallimastigales.